RNAcentral lists this ribosomal RNA (711 nucleotides) under uncultured bacterium. RNAcentral describes it as "bacterial SSU rRNA". It matches the Rfam family "Bacterial small subunit ribosomal RNA", at positions 94 to 801 of the family's 1533-position model. The record is from RNAcentral.
AGUGGCGAACGGGUGAGUAAUACAUCGGAACGUGCCCAGUCGUGGGGGAUAACUACUCGAAAGAGUAGCUAAUACCGCAUACGAUCUGAGGAUGAAAGCGGGGGACCUUCGGGCCUCGCGCGAUUGGAGCGGCCGAUGGCAGAUUAGGUAGUUGGUGGGAUAAAAGCUUACCAAGCCGACGAUCUGUAGCUGGUCUGAGAGGACGACCAGCCACACUGGGACUGAGACGCGGCCCAGACUCCUACGGGAGGCAGCAGUGGGGAAUUUUGGACAAUGGGCGAAAGCCUGAUCCAGCAAUGCCGCGUGCAGGAUGAAGGCCUUCGGGUUGUAAACUGCUUUUGUACGGAACGAAAAAGCUCCUUCUAAUACAGGGGGCCCAUGACGGUACCGUAAGAAUAAGCACCGGCUAACUACGUGCCAGCAGCCGCGGUAAUACGUAGGGUGCGAGCGUUAAUCGGAAUUACUGGGCGUAAAGCGUGCGCAGGCGGUUAUGUAAGACAGAUGUGAAAUCCCCGGGCUCAACCUGGGAACUGCAUUUGUGACUGCAUGGCUAGAGUACGGUAGAGGGGGAUGGAAUUCCGCGUGUAGCAGUGAAAUGCGUAGAUAUGCGGAGGAACACCGAUGGCGAAGGCAAUCCCCUGGACCUGUACUGACGCUCAUGCACGAAAGCGUGGGGAGCAAACAGGAUUAGAUACCCUGGUAGUCCACGCC